GACGAACGCUGGCGGCGUGCUUAACACAUGCAAGUCGAACGGUAAGGCCCUUCGGGGUACACGAGUGGCGAACGGGUGAGUAACACGUGGGUGAUCUGCCCUGCACUUCGGGAUAAGCCUGGGAAACUGGGUCUAAUACCGGAUAGGACCACUGCCUGCAUGGGUGGUGGUGGAAAGCUUUUGCGGUGUGGGAUGGGCCCGCGGCCUAUCAGCUUGUUGGUGGGGUGAUGGCCUACCAAGGCGACGACGGGUAGCCGGCCUGAGAGGGUGACCGGCCACACUGGGACUGAGAUACGGCCCAGACUCCUACGGGAGGCAGCAGUGGGGAAUAUUGCACAAUGGGCGCAAGCCUGGUGCAGCGACGCCGCGUGAGGGAUGACGGCCUUCGGGUUGUAAACCUCUUUCAGCACCGACGAAGCGCAAGCGACGGUAGGUGCAGAAGAAGGACCGGCCAACUACGUGCCAGCCGCCGCGGUAA
RNAcentral lists this ribosomal RNA (478 nucleotides) under uncultured bacterium. Its description in RNAcentral is "partial 16S ribosomal RNA". It matches the Rfam family "Bacterial small subunit ribosomal RNA", at positions 28 to 523 of the family's 1533-position model. The record is from RNAcentral.